CCUACGGGUGACAGCAGUGAGGAAUAUUGGUCAAUGGACGAGAGUCUGAACCAGCCAAGUAGCGUGAAGGAUGACUGCCCUAUGGGUUGUAAACUUCUUUUAUAUGGGAAUAAAACGUUCCACGUGUGGGAUUUUGUAUGUACCAUAUGAAUAAGGAUCGGCUAACUCCGUGCCAGCAGCCGCGGUAAUACGGAGGAUCCGAGUGUUAUCCGGAUUUAUUGGGUUUAAAGGGAGCGUAGGUGGAUUGUUAAGUCAGUUGUGAAAGUUUGCGGCUCAACCGUAAAAUUGCAGUUGAAACUGGCAGUCUUGAGUACAGUAGAGGUGGGCGGAAUUCGUGGUGUAGCGGUGAAAUGCUUAGAUGUCACGAAGAACUCCGAUUGCGAAGGCAGUUCACUGGACUGCAACCGACACUGAGGCUCGAAAGUGUGGGUAUCAAACAGGAUUAGAUACCCGAGUAGUC
RNAcentral lists this ribosomal RNA (460 nucleotides) under uncultured bacterium. RNAcentral describes it as "partial 16S ribosomal RNA". It matches the Rfam family "Bacterial small subunit ribosomal RNA", at positions 338 to 795 of the family's 1533-position model. The record is from RNAcentral.